RNAcentral lists this ribosomal RNA (366 nucleotides) under uncultured bacterium. RNAcentral describes it as "bacterial SSU rRNA". It matches the Rfam family "Bacterial small subunit ribosomal RNA", at positions 527 to 891 of the family's 1533-position model. The record is from RNAcentral.
GGAGGGGGCGAGCGUUAUUCGGAAUUAUUGGGCGUAAAGGGCGCGUAGGCGGCCCGGUAAGUCAAAGGUGAAAUCCCUCGGCUCAACUGAGGAAUUGCCUUUGAAACUGCCAGGCUUGAGGCCGGGAGGGGGUAGCGGAAUUCCCAGUGUAGCGGUGAAAUGCGUAGAUACUGGGAGGAACACCAGUGGCGAAGGCGGCUACCUGGACCGGUUCUGACGCUGAUGCGCGAAAGCGUGGGGAGCAAACAGGAUUAGAUACCCUGGUAGUCCACGCUGUAAACGAUGGGUGCUCGGUGUCGCGGGUAUCGACCCCUGCGGUGCCUUAGCUAACGCGUUAAGCACCCCGCCUGGGGAGUACGGUCGCAA